AGUGAACGCUGGCGGUAGGCCUAACACAUGCAAGUCGAACGGCAGCACAGUAAGAGCUUGCUCUUACGGGUGGCGAGUGGCGGACGGGUGAGGAAUACAUCGGAAUCUACUUUUUCGUGGGGGAUAACGUAGGGAAACUUACGCUAAUACCGAAUACGACCUACGGGUGAAAGCAGGGGAUCUUCGGACCUUGCGCGAUUGUAUGAGCCGAUGUCGGAUUAGCUAGUUGGGGGGGUAAAGGCCCACCAAGGCGACGAUCCGUAGCUGGUCUGAGAGGAUGAUCAGCCACACUGGAACUGAGACACGGUCCAGACUCCUACGGGAGGCAGCAGUGGGGAAUAUUGGACAAAGGGCGCAAGCCUGAUCCAGCCAUACCGCGUGAGUGAAGAAGGCCUUCGGGUUGUAAAACCCUUUUGUUGGGGAAGAAAAGCAGCAGGUUAAUACCCCGCUGUUCUGACGGUACCCAAAGAAUAAGCACCGGCUAACUUCGUG
Molecule: ribosomal RNA, 492 nt
Filed under: uncultured bacterium
Lineage: Bacteria
Description: partial 16S ribosomal RNA
Rfam family: Bacterial small subunit ribosomal RNA
Source: RNAcentral